Molecule: long non-coding RNA, 1693 nt
Organism: Planococcus citri (citrus mealybug)
Lineage: Eukaryota; Metazoa; Arthropoda; Insecta; Hemiptera; Pseudococcidae
Exons: 2
Source: RefSeq, a predicted model, not a curated record
AACCAUCCAUGUACUGAGAAGAACACUAUUGAUGAUCCUUUAAUUGGACUCGUGUAAUAAUAUGCUUCUCAGCAUAAUUCAAUACUGCUCCUAUUGUGGAUUUGUAUGGUAUUCUCCUCACUCUUACUGAGCAUUUGUGGGAAUUAUGGCAUUUAUGCAGUGUUAUCCUCACUCUCAUUGAUUAUCUGUAGACGUUAUGGCGAGUAUCAAUUAGGGUAGGUGGGUAUUUCUGGGCUCGUUUUUGAUAUUUGGAUUAUUUCAUUGUAUAGAUAGGUGGGUUAAUCUUUGAUUGAACAAUAUUUUUGAAAGUAACUAUUUGAAAGAACAAGUACCCACAUUGAACUUAUUGCUACUUUGAUCAUUCGAAUAUUGUAGCCUUGAACUGAGGUAGAUCCUACAUAUAUUGAUUGAAAGUCUCUGGAGAUCCCUUCUUACAACACUAAUGGUUGGAGAAGAUGAAUGAUGACCAAGAGUUGAAAUGUUGAAAAAAUUAUGUUUCAAAGAACUGUUAUUUCCAAGAGAGAAGGUAGGUUGGCAUUUUUUGCUCAAAUAUCAUGGUGAAGUUUUGGUAGGAAUUUGAACUUUUAAAUCAUGAAUCACAAAAAUGAUUAAUUGAUUUGAUAGGUCAACUUCUCAAUUACUUGAGAAAUGAGUUUUAAAUCAGCACUAUAUUGCAGCCUUCGGUCAUGUAACUUGGAAAUAUGUACAUUCCCAAAGAACUUAAUUAGCCAUUAUUUUUAGAGGUUUUAGGUUUUAUGUUGCUUAAUAUUGCUGUAAGAUGGGUCGAGGUCUAUUGCAAUCAGACGCUAUGUUUGCAACUUGCUUGUAUACGCUUGGUAUGUAUGAAUUACCAUUGCUGAUGAAGUAACUUGAAUGGUGCUGUUAUAUACAUUAAACACAUUGAUUAACUGGUUUUCUAUUGUAAAUGGUAGAUUGUCAUUUUGGGUUAUGGAAUUCAUAUUACAAGGCAAAGAGGAUACAUAAUACUGAAUUGAAAUGGGCACUUUUUCAUCGGUCAUCUCAUUGUCAGUAGCUGUAUUAUGUUUGAGUGAUUUCAUUGCCUUCGCAUGGAUUCCACAGUAUGACUAUGCGAUGAUAGGUCCUGUUAUGAAUAUACAAUAUGUAACUAAAAUCACACAGGAUGAUCUUAAUAAAGAUGUGCAGUGCUUCAUCGCGGUGAAUCAUAAUGAUUCGGAUGUUGGCCAAGUCUCAGAUUCUUCAGAUCCUAGGAAACAUAUCGGUCGAUAUCAUGAGUGUACAAACAUAGAUGCUUGUUUACUUGCUGAGAGAAUGAUGAACAAGGGUAAAUUAGUGAGAAUGACAGCGGUGUAUUCCAAAGAAAGGGUCGAUUUAAAAACCAAUAACGUGGUGGUUGGUUUGGAGUUUGCAUUUACACAUAGUUUUUUCAGAACCUAAAUAAUUAGACCCAACGAUGACUAGAGAUACUCAUCUAACAUAAGUGGAUCUCGUUGAAUGUAUUCUGAUGCAAUUUUGUAAAUACUUGUUUAAAAAUCUGAUUUGGAUUAAAACAUUUUCUCACAGUUAUCACCACUGAAUAGAGCAUUGGCUAUAAUUAAGUAAUAUUCAUUGAGUGAUUUGUCUAUAGGUAUCUUAUAAACCUUCGGUGAAAAAGUAUUGUUAUGCAAAUGUGUUGACAAAUAAACGCUUUUAUUCUUUGAAAUAAAAUUCAUAA